GUGGAAGGUGCAGCUGAGGCAUUGGAAAGUAGAAGAAGCGAAAGGGUGAGAGCGAAAUGGAGGUUUGGCAUUGUAGUGAAAUGCGAGUCCUGGGAGAGGAGGAGAAUCCUAAAUCAUGGAGAAGGUAAAAGAGUGUAGAGUGUGGUGUGAACAGAGAGUGAAUGGGAAAAGCAAAAGAGACAAGAAAAGGAAGAGGGAGAAGUGGACCAUA
Molecule: non-coding RNA, 211 nt
Organism: Cajanus cajan (pigeon pea)
Lineage: Eukaryota; Viridiplantae; Streptophyta; Magnoliopsida; Fabales; Fabaceae
Source: RefSeq, a predicted model, not a curated record